CACGUAGGGCGCAAGCGUUGUCCGGAAUUACUGGGCGUAAAGAGCUCGUAGGUGGUUUGUCGCGUUGUUCGUGAAAACUCACAGCUUAACUGUGGGCGUGCGGGCGAUACGGGCAGACUGGAGUACUGCAGGGGAGACUGGAAUUCCUGGUGUAGCGGUGGAAUGCGCAGAUAUCAGGAGGAACACCGGUGGCGAAGGCGGGUCUCUGGGCAGUAACUGACGCUGAGGAGCGAAAUCGUGGGGAGCGAACAGG
RNAcentral lists this ribosomal RNA (253 nucleotides) under uncultured bacterium. Its description in RNAcentral is "partial 16S ribosomal RNA". It matches the Rfam family "Bacterial small subunit ribosomal RNA", at positions 524 to 776 of the family's 1533-position model. The record is from RNAcentral.